GUAUUUAUAAAUUAUAAAAAAUCCAAACGACGUCCGAAAAUCACGAAACUUGUCGAUGUGUCUUGGUAUCCCAUGUGGAGACUAUGAUAAAAAUUUUAGGAAGUUUCGAGCAAGUAGUGAUGUCCGAUACUUAAAACCCAGACAUCUCCACUUGUCAAAGUUUUGUGAUCACAUGUGGAGGAGGAUGGCUUUUAAGCAUUCGAAGUCACUACAUGAAACUUCCUCAAAUUUUUAUCAUAGUCUCCACAUGGGAUACCAAGACACAUCGACAAGUUUCGUGAUUUUUGGACGUCGUUCGGAUUUUUUAUAAUUUAAAUAC
Molecule: microRNA precursor, 319 nt
Filed under: Sorghum bicolor (sorghum)
Lineage: Eukaryota; Viridiplantae; Streptophyta; Magnoliopsida; Poales; Poaceae
Description: miR6218 stem-loop (sbi-MIR6218)
Source: miRBase by way of RNAcentral